CCUACGGGGUGCAGCAGUGGGGAAUAUUGGACAAUGGGCGAAAGCCUGAUCCAGCCAUGCCGCGUGUGUGAAGAAGGCCUUCGGGUUGUAAAGCACUUUCAGUGGGGAAGAAAGCCUUGGGGCUAAUACCCUCGAGGAAGGACAUCACCCACAGAAGAAGCACCGGCUAACUCCGUGCCAGCAGCCGCGGUAAUACGGAGGGUGCGAGCGUUAAUCGGAAUUACUGGGCGUAAAGCGCGCGUAGGCGGUCUGAUAAGCCGGUUGUGAAAGCCCCGGGCUCAACCUGGGAACGGCAUCCGGAACUGUCAGGCUAGAGUGCAGUAGAGGAAGGUAGAAUUCCCGGUGUAGCGGUGAAAUGCGUAGAGAUCGGGAGGAAUACCAGUGGCGAAGGCGGCCUUCUGGACUGACACUGACGCUGAGGUGCGAAAGCGUGGGUAGCAAACAGGAUUAGAUACCCCAGUAGUC
RNAcentral lists this ribosomal RNA (465 nucleotides) under Vreelandella stevensii. RNAcentral's name for it is "partial 16S ribosomal RNA". It matches the Rfam family "Bacterial small subunit ribosomal RNA", at positions 338 to 795 of the family's 1533-position model. Lineage: Bacteria; Pseudomonadati; Pseudomonadota; Gammaproteobacteria; Oceanospirillales; Halomonadaceae. The record is from RNAcentral.